UGCUGCUGGUGGCCGGGUUGUGGCUGGCCGGCUGGGGCGCGGCCCGGCUGGUGGCGACGGUGGCCGGCGCUGUUAUGUCCGGCGCGGCGGCGG
This 93-nucleotide transfer RNA is filed under the name Mycolicibacterium fallax. Its description in RNAcentral is "tRNA-Pro". The record is from RNAcentral. Lineage: Bacteria; Bacillati; Actinomycetota; Actinomycetes; Mycobacteriales; Mycobacteriaceae.